AAUUGAUCUGGUCAGGACGAACGCUGGCGGCGUGCCUAACACAUGCAAGUCGAGCGAGGAGAUCCUCGGGAUGAUCCUAGCGGCGGACGGGUGAGUAACACGUGGGCAACCUGCCUCAUAGAGAGGAAUAGCCUUCCGAAAGGGAGAUUAAUACCUCAUAACAUUGCAGUUUCGCAUGGAACAGCAAUUAAAGGAGCAAUCCGCUAUGAGAUGGGCCCGCGGCGCAUUAGCUAGUUGGUGAGGUAACGGCUCACCAAGGCGACGAUGCGUAGCCGACCUGAGAGGGUGAUCGGCCACAUUGGGACUGAGACACGGCCCAGACUCCUACGGGAGGCAGCAGUGGGGAAUAUUGCACAAUGGGGGAAACCCUGAUGCAAGCAACGCCGCGUGAGUGAUGACGGCCUUCGGGUUGUAAAGCUCUGUCUUCAGGGACGAUAAUGACGGUACCUGAGGAGGAAGCCACGGCUAACUACGUGCCAGCAGCCGC
RNAcentral lists this ribosomal RNA (487 nucleotides) under uncultured bacterium. RNAcentral's name for it is "bacterial SSU rRNA". It matches the Rfam family "Bacterial small subunit ribosomal RNA", at positions 11 to 518 of the family's 1533-position model. The record is from RNAcentral.